This 171-nucleotide small nuclear RNA is filed under the name Tetrapisispora phaffii CBS 4417. RNAcentral's name for it is "U4 spliceosomal RNA". It matches the Rfam family "U4 spliceosomal RNA". From Rfam's summary of the family: U4 small nuclear RNA (U4 snRNA) is a component of the major U2-dependent spliceosome. The structure of U4 snRNA from yeast and human has been reported. Lineage: Eukaryota; Fungi; Ascomycota; Saccharomycetes; Saccharomycetales; Saccharomycetaceae. The record is from Rfam by way of RNAcentral.
AUCCUUAUGCAUGGGAAAUACGCAAAUCAGUGAGGAUUCGUCCGAGAUUGUGUUUUUGCUGGUUGAAAUUUACUUUUAACCUGACCCAUCUUCUCAUAGUCAACUUAUAAUGAAUUCGCUUUAGAAUUCAUUUAGACCAUGUAGAGAAUUUUUGGCUUCAUUUUUCAAAUA